This 320-nucleotide long non-coding RNA is filed under the name Nicotiana benthamiana. RNAcentral's name for it is "long non-coding RNA (NBEN_LNC040008)". Lineage: Eukaryota; Viridiplantae; Streptophyta; Magnoliopsida; Solanales; Solanaceae. The record is from RNAcentral.
AAGAGUCGAAAGGGACUCACCCGGAAUAACCUUGCAGUCCUUGCAAAUACCCCUAUCGCUCAUUCUGAGGAGGAUGUAAUCAAUCUGAGUCCUCGCCGCCGAACUCUUGAAGGUUACCAAAUGCUCCUCCCUCUUCUGAAAUGUCGAGUUCGCAAUCAGAAGCUCGGAAGCCCUGGCGAAAUCAAGCACAGAAGUGCCUCCUCCGUUCCUGACCCCAAAGCCGAAGCCAUCGUGCACCUCACCAUAACCACCAGCAUCAGCCCCAAUAUGACCAUUAAAGUCUCCUCCAAUAACUAACUUCUCAGAUUGGGGAAUACUAC